RNAcentral lists this ribosomal RNA (382 nucleotides) under uncultured eukaryote. Its description in RNAcentral is "partial 18S ribosomal RNA". It matches the Rfam family "Eukaryotic small subunit ribosomal RNA", at positions 592 to 976 of the family's 1831-position model. The record is from RNAcentral.
UGUAAGCGUAUACCAAAGUUGUUGCAGUUAAAACGCGCGUAGUCGGAAUUUGGCAGUUCCGGAUGUGUGCACGUCGUGUGCGCACUUCGCGGGGAUUGCUUUUGUGGUCUUGCGUAGGAUGAGGCACUUUUAUUAGUGAACGUCCUCACGCAACCACUUUUUACUGUGAGAAAAUCAGAGUGCUCAAAGCAGGCAUUUGCCGUGAAUGUAUUAGCAUGGAAUAAUAGAAUAGGACUUGGUUCUAUUUUGUUGGUUUGUUGGGACUGAGUAAUGAUUAAGAGGGACAGUUGGGGGCAUUUGUAUUUCGGUGCUAGAGGUGAAAUUCUUAGAUUACCGAAAGACAAACUGCUGCGAAAGCGUCUGCCAAGGAUGUUUUCAUUGA